GAUUCUUAAAGGAGGAGGAAAUCCAGCAACAGCAGGAGUUGAUCUUGAGGCACUAUUAAAAUGCACUUAAAAAAGAAAGAAGCCUGCUGACCUUAACAAGUUGCUCAAAAUGCCAGGAAUUCAAGAAUAUCAAAGAGCUGUCUGUAGAACUAUUAUUAUCUUUUUCUUUUUUCCCUCCAGUAAAUUUGCUGCCUAGAAAUGUUGCUAUCCUAUCACAGAUGCCAAUGAGCCCUUUACGAUGGUGCAUUCCUGGUCACCCAGCAUAAGUAUAGAGGCAAAAGCCACCUCCAAUUAUAGUAUGGCAGCCACUGCACCACUGAACCCAAUCCAUUGCAUCACCUCUUUUUAAGACUUGGGCAACCGGCACAGCUUUGGAAAAAAUACAAACAAUCUGCAAGAGAUGAGUGACUCCAGUAUGUGAAGUGGCGGGUGAUGUACUUGUGAGCAACACUGCAGUGCGCCAUAAUGAUGGUGCGGGCUGAAAAUAGAUUUUGCGAGACAAAAUAAAUGUCCCAAAAUGCUCUUAAUUGUAACUUCGUGUUUCAAUCUGCUUUAUUCCUAAUAUUUCAAUCUUCAGAAUUUAAACAGAAGUCUGAGGAAUUUCAGCAGGCACAAGUGAACUGUAUACAGCAAAUCCAUUUGUUGCUCAAGCACAUACAAAAAUGGCUUGGCUUAAGUAUGGCCAAAGUUGUACCAAUAAAGCCUUGGUUUUCCUAUAACAUUUCCUCACCUAUAAUAACAAGCAAAUGAAGAAACUGGGAAUGUGAUAAACGUUUUCACACAAUGGGUUCAGAUCCCAUCUUUCCUCCAAAUUUUGUGAUUUGCCGGUUGUGCUGUUCACAUUUUAUAUAACUGUAUAGCAUAGUGUGCGUGCUUAUGCUUUAAUAACAGAAUCUUACGUAACACCAUUCUUAACAUGCCAUUUUAUUAGAGACUAAACCAACAUGACAGAUGUAGCAUUAGUUGACAGACUACAUCUUGUAUUUGUCCGGGCACUUCAAGAAAUAGGUUGGUCAGAAGCCUCUGCUUUCUGGCAUUCAUAUGCGUGCAGCAGCAGUACAGCAUCAGAUUUAUCAAUUGACUGAUUGAUUGAUUAUUGGGAACUAACGUACCCAAGCAACACUUGGUCAACGAGAGACGCCAGGUGGCCUCUUUAAGAGGCCACCUGGCACUUUUUGAAGGACAACUGUAAUGAAAUUUUACUUUGGCUAAGUGUUAAUAAAUGAAUACCACUGAAGCAAACCUGGCAAAACCCAAAGACAAGCCUCUAUCAGUUCUUGCAUUUCUUGAGAAAAGAGAUACAUGUGGCAGUAUUGCCAGUUUACUAGUAGUGCCCACCUGUAAACAAGGCCUACAGGAGGGCCACGCAGGUGAGCAUCUUGCAGUACCACUGAGUGAUAGAUACUGAGAUAGAAAAAACUUUUCUCAAUGCUCAUAACUCUAAACGUCACAUGCGACAAUGAUUAUAAGGUGCCCAAGUGCGGGCAUUAGUAUGCAGCAGUAAAUUAGGCAAAGCUGGAAUACUUCUAAACUACAGCGGUUGCAGCCACCAUAGAGCAAUGCGAAAAUCAGUUUUGAUGUAAGCCAAGGGUUGGCAGAACUACAGCAAUUUCUUCUAGGACUUGCGUAAGGUUGCAGAACUUGCAGUGCGACACUGGCAGCAUUUUGUUCCACAAAGGUGCAUUUCUUUAAACAUUUUGUCGCUGCCGUACAUGUAUGGCCAUGACCAUUUGGGAUUAGUUUUCGCCACCGUACAUAUACGGUGAUGACCACCAAAGGGUUAAAUAGUGUAUAAGCACACAAUGGGUGCACCUGGUAGUUAGCAGGUACGACAUAAGUUGCAGCAUGUUGCCUCUGAGAUUUUAGGCAUGACAUGCUUUUAGCUCCUGAUGUUGGCGACCUUCCAAGUGACCUUGAGCCAAAAGCCAGAGCCGUUAUCCAGACACGAGAACAUCCGGGCACUCUAAUGAGAAUAU
Molecule: non-coding RNA, 1976 nt
Organism: Dermacentor andersoni
Lineage: Eukaryota; Metazoa; Arthropoda; Arachnida; Ixodida; Ixodidae
Source: RefSeq, a predicted model, not a curated record